CGCCAACAAGCUAGCCCGACCUUUACCUUCAACAUAAAAACAUUACUACCCCAAAAUGUACGUAACACCAUAAAAUAAAACAUUUUCUUCCCCAAGUAUAGGCGAUAGAAAAGGACCUAAGGAGCUAUAGAGAAAGUACCGCAAGGGAACGCUGAAAGAGAUAUGAAAUAGCCCAGUAAAGCCAAAAAAAGCAGAGAUUAACCCUCGUACCUUUUGCAUCAUGAUUUAGCUAGUAGCCUUAAGCAAAGAGAACUUUAGUUUAAGACCCCGAAACCACGUGAGCUACUCCAAGCCAGCCUAGUAUAUAGGGCAAACCCGUCUCUGUGGCAAAAGAGUGGGAAGAGCUUCGAGUAGGGGCGACAAACCUACCGAACCUGGUUAUAGCUGGUUGCCUGAGAACUGAAUAGAAGUUCAGCCUUAAAGAUUCUUAACUCCCAGAAUUAUUACUAUUCUCCUGACAGCCAAAAAGAAACUUUAAGAGUUAAUCAAAGGGGGUACAGCUCCUUUGAUACAAGACACAACUUUUCCAGGAGGGUAAAGAUCCUAUUUCUUAAAGGAACAAUGCUCUGGUGGGCCUAACAGCAGCCAUCCAAACAGAAAGCGUUAAAGCUCGAGCAUCCCCCACAUCCUCUAAUUCCGAUAACCCAAUCUUAUCCCCCUAAUCCUACCAGGCCUUCCCAUGCCCCCAUGGGUGUGAUUAUGCUAAUAUGAGUAAUAAGAGGGUCCGCCCCUCUCCUCGCACAUGUGUAUAUCGGAAUGAACCCCCCACCGAAAAUUACCGGCCCCAAUCAAAGAGGGCAGUAGGCAUCUAAAUUAAGAGACAAGAAAAGCACCUACACAAACACCGUUAACCCUACACCGGCGUGCAACUCAAGGAAAGACUAAAAGAAAAAGAAGGAACUCGGCAAACACUUACCUGAGCCCCGCCUGUUUACCAAAAACAUCGCCUCUUGCAAUACAAGAAUAAGAGGUCCCGCCUGCCCAGUGACAUCCCCGUUCAACGGCCGCGGAAUCCUAACCGUGCAAAGGUAGCGCAAUCACUUGUCUCUUAAAUGAAGACCUGUAUGAAUGGCUAGACGAGGGCUCAACUGUCUCCUUUUUCAAGUCAAUGAAAUUGAUCUCCCCGUGCAGAAGCGGGGAUUUUCACAUAAGACGAGAAGACCCUGUGGAGCUUUAGACGCAAAACAGAAUCCGUCACUUACUCCCACAAUAAAGGCGCAAAACCACUAACCUAACCUGUUCUUACGUCUUCGGUUGGGGCGACCAUGGGGUAACAAAAAACCCCCACGCGGACUGAGAGCUCCCUCCCCCUCUUCCCACUCCUCCCAAAACCAAGAGCGACAGCUCUAACUAGCAGAAUUUCUGACCAUAAAUGAUCCGGCACAUGCCGAUCAACGGACCAAGUUACCCCAGGGAUAACAGCGCAAUCCCCUUUAAGAGACCCUAUCGACAAGGGGGUUUACGACCUCGAUGUUGGAUCAGGACAUCCUGAUGGUGCAGCCGCUAUUAAGGGUUCGUUUGUUCAACGAUUAAAGUCCUACGUGAUCUGAGUUCAGACCGGAGUAAUCCAGGUCAGUUUCUAUCUAUGAUGUAAUCUUUUCUAGUACGAAAGGACCGAGAAGAUGGGGCCCCUGCUAAAAGUACGCCCUACCCCCACCCAAUGAAACCAACUAAAUUAAGUAAGGGAGGACACCCCUAAUGCCUUAGAGCCCGGCAU
Molecule: ribosomal RNA, 1717 nt
Filed under: Polydactylus sextarius (blackspot threadfin)
Lineage: Eukaryota; Metazoa; Chordata; Actinopteri; Polynemidae
Description: 16S ribosomal RNA
Rfam family: Bacterial large subunit ribosomal RNA
Source: RNAcentral